UACAGAGGGUGCAAGCGUUGUUCGGAAUUAUUGGGCGUAAAGGGCGCGUAGGCGGCCUUCUAAGUCGAACGUGAAAUCCCCGGGCUCAACCCGGGAACUGCGUCCGAUACUGGAAGGCUUGAAUCCGGGAGAGGGAUGCGGAAUUCCAGGUGUAGCGGUGAAAUGCGUAGAUAUCUGGAGGAACACCGGUGGCGAAGGCGGCAUCCUGGACCGGCAUUGACGCUGAGGCGCGAAAGCCAGGGGAGCAAACGGG
RNAcentral lists this ribosomal RNA (253 nucleotides) under uncultured bacterium. RNAcentral's name for it is "partial 16S ribosomal RNA". It matches the Rfam family "Bacterial small subunit ribosomal RNA", at positions 524 to 776 of the family's 1533-position model. The record is from RNAcentral.